GACGAACGCUGGCGGCGUGCUUAACACAUGCAAGUCGAACGGAAAGGCCCUGCUUGCAGGGUACUCGAGUGGCGAACGGGUGAGUAACACGUGGGUGAUCUGCCCUGCACUUCGGGAUAAGCCUGGGAAACUGGGUCUAAUACCGGAUAGGAGCCAUUUUGAGUGUGAUGGUUGGAAAGUUUUUUCGGUGUAGGAUGAGCUCGCGGCCUAUCAGCUUGUUGGUGGGGUAAUGGCCUACCAAGGCGGCGACGGGUAGCCGGCCUGGGGGGGUGGACGGCCACAUUGGGACUUGGGUACGGCCCAGACUCCUACGGGAGGCAGCAGUGGGGAAUAUUGCACAAUGGGCGCGAGCCUGAUGCAGCGACACCGCGUGGGGGAUGACGGCCUUCGGGUUGGAAACUCGUUUCGCUAGGGACGAAGCUUUUUGUGACGGUACCUAGAUAAGAAGCACCGGCUAACUACGUG
This 465-nucleotide ribosomal RNA is filed under the name uncultured bacterium. RNAcentral describes it as "partial 16S ribosomal RNA". It matches the Rfam family "Bacterial small subunit ribosomal RNA", at positions 28 to 507 of the family's 1533-position model. The record is from RNAcentral.